CAACCAUCAAGCCCCCGGGCUUGCGUUGGGGCCCUGCGGCUACCGCAGGCCCCUAAAAGCAGUGGCGGGCUCGCUGUCACACCGAGCGCAGUAGCGAUAUUCGCUCCGGGCGUCGGCGGCGGGCACCGGCCGUGAAACCCCCCAUUUCUCAA
This 152-nucleotide unclassified non-coding RNA is filed under the name Podospora pyriformis. Its description in RNAcentral is "partial internal transcribed spacer 2". The record is from RNAcentral. Lineage: Eukaryota; Fungi; Ascomycota; Sordariomycetes; Sordariales; Podosporaceae.